RNAcentral lists this ribosomal RNA (253 nucleotides) under uncultured bacterium. RNAcentral describes it as "partial 16S ribosomal RNA". It matches the Rfam family "Bacterial small subunit ribosomal RNA", at positions 524 to 776 of the family's 1533-position model. The record is from RNAcentral.
UACGUAGGGGGGCGAGCGUUGUCCGGAUUUAUUGGGCGUAAAGAGCGUGUAGGCGGCCAGGUAGGUCUGCUGUGAAAACUCGAGGCUCAACCUCGAGACGUCGGCGGAAACCAUCUGGCUAGAGUCCGGAAGAGGAGAGUGGAAUUCCUGGUGUAGCGGUGAAAUGCGCAGAUAUCAGGAAGAACACCCGUGGCGAAGGCGGCUCUCUGGGACGGUACUGACGCUGAGACGCGAAAGCGUGGGAGCAAACAGG